Molecule: ribosomal RNA, 463 nt
Filed under: Vreelandella stevensii
Lineage: Bacteria; Pseudomonadati; Pseudomonadota; Gammaproteobacteria; Oceanospirillales; Halomonadaceae
Description: partial 16S ribosomal RNA
Rfam family: Bacterial small subunit ribosomal RNA
Source: RNAcentral
CCUACGGCGCAGCAGUGGGGAAUAUUGGACAAUGGGCGAAAGCCUGAUCCAGCCAUGCCGCGUGUGUGAAGAAGGCCUUCGGGUUGUAAAGCACUUUCAGUGGGGAAGAAAGCCUUGGGGCUAAUACCCUCGAGGAAGGACAUCACCCACAGAAGAAGCACCGGCUAACUCCGUGCCAGCAGCCGCGGUAAUACGGAGGGUGCGAGCGUUAAUCGGAAUUACUGGGCGUAAAGCGCGCGUAGGCGGUCUGAUAAGCCGGUUGUGAAAGCCCCGGGCUCAACCUGGGAACGGCAUCCGGAACUGUCAGGCUAGAGUGCAGGAGAGGAAGGUAGAAUUCCCGGUGUAGCGGUGAAAUGCGUAGAGAUCGGGAGGAAUACCAGUGGCGAAGGCGGCCUUCUGGACUGACACUGACGCUGAGGUGCGAAAGCGUGGGUAGCAAACAGGAUUAGAUACCCGUGUAGUC